Penaeus monodon (black tiger shrimp) is the source of this 201-nucleotide small nuclear RNA. RefSeq annotates it as U2 spliceosomal RNA. The transcript has a single exon. The record is from RefSeq and is a predicted model, not a curated record. Lineage: Eukaryota; Metazoa; Arthropoda; Malacostraca; Decapoda; Penaeidae.
AUCGCUUCUGGGCCUUUUGGUUUAAGAUCAAAGUGUAUAUUUUUCUUAUAAGUUAAAUAUUUUUGUACAAAUCCCCGGGUGGGAUCUACGAUUUUUAAAUUGAUUUUGGGAAAAAAGGCGAAAGUGUUUAGGGGCUUGCUCCCCUUGCCGGGGAUGGGCCCCGGUUUAUUGCAGUACCCCCGGGGGAUUGGUCCACUCCCC